AGCAGCCGCGGUAAUUCCAGCUCCAAUAGCGUAUAUUAAAGUUGUUGCAGUUAAAAAGCUCGUAGUUGAAUUUCGGGGUCAGUAGAUUGGUCAUGCCACUGGUAUGUACUGGUCUUACUGAUUCCUCCUUCCUGAUGAGCCGUAAUGCCAUUAAUUUGGUGUUGCGAGGAAUCUGGACUGUUACUUUGAAAAAUUAGAGUGUUUAAAGCAGGCUAACGCUUGAAUACAUUAGCAUGGAAUAAUGAAAUAGGACGUUCGAUCUUAUUUUGUUGGUUUCUAAGAUUGACGUAAUGAUUAAUAGGGAUAGUUGGGGCAUUAGGUAUUCAAUUGUCAGAGGUGAAAUUCUUGGAUUUAUUUGAAG
This 361-nucleotide ribosomal RNA is filed under the name uncultured Glomus. Its description in RNAcentral is "SSU rRNA". It matches the Rfam family "Eukaryotic small subunit ribosomal RNA", at positions 569 to 934 of the family's 1831-position model. Lineage: Eukaryota; Fungi; Glomeromycota; Glomeromycetes; Glomerales; Glomeraceae. The record is from RNAcentral.